GUGAGGACAUCAGGGCGCCGCAGGAUGUGAGGCGGAACCAGUCGGUGGGGAAUCUCAGUGGAGGGGGGAGGGAGCAGCAGCCGUCGAGAUCCAAAUCGACGGAGGAUAUAUACACAAGGACGCAGCUGGAGGCGUCGGCGGCGAAUAAGGAGAGCUUCUUUGCGAGGAAGAUGGAGGAGAAUGAUGCUCGGCCGGUGGGGGUGCCUCCGUCGAAGGGUGGGAAGUACGUUGGGUUUGGAUCGACCCCGCUGCCUUCUGCUGCUCAACAGAAUGGUUCGCAGGGGGAUGUGAUUCGAGAUACAGUCUCUGUAGUCUCACAGGGAUUUGGCCGACUAUCUCUGGUCGCUGCUUCUGCCGCUCAAUCUGCUGCUCUUCUCGCCCAAGCUGGUACGAAAGAGCUGACAUCCAAGGUGAGGGAGGGAGGCUAUGACCAAAAGGUGAAUGAAACUGUGACUGUAGUUGCCUCGAAAACGACUGAAAUCGGCCAGAAAACAUGGGGGAUCAUGAAGGGUGUCAUGGCAAUGGCAUCACAAAAGGUUGAGGAAUACACCGG
This 553-nucleotide unclassified non-coding RNA is filed under the name Hevea brasiliensis (rubber tree). Lineage: Eukaryota; Viridiplantae; Streptophyta; Magnoliopsida; Malpighiales; Euphorbiaceae. The record is from RNAcentral.